RNAcentral lists this ribosomal RNA (427 nucleotides) under Enterobacter sp. Its description in RNAcentral is "bacterial SSU rRNA". It matches the Rfam family "Bacterial small subunit ribosomal RNA", at positions 334 to 751 of the family's 1533-position model. Lineage: Bacteria; Pseudomonadati; Pseudomonadota; Gammaproteobacteria; Enterobacterales; Enterobacteriaceae. The record is from RNAcentral.
UACUCCUACGGGGGGGGCAGCAGUGGGGAAUAUUGCACAAUGGGCGCAAGCCUGAUGCAGCCAUGCCGCGUGUAUGAAGAAGGCCUUCGGGUUGUAAAGUACUUUCAGCGGGGAGGAAGGUGUUGUGGUUAAUAACCGCAGCAAUUGACGUUACCCGCAGAAGAAGCACCGGCUAACUCCGUGCCAGCAGCCGCGGUAAUACGGAGGGUGCAAGCGUUAAUCGGAAUUACUGGGCGUAAAGCGCACGCAGGCGGUCUGUCAAGUCGGAUGUGAAAUCCCCGGGCUCAACCUGGGAACUGCAUUCGAAACUGGCAGGCUAGAGUCUUGUAGAGGGGGGUAGAAUUCCAGGUGUAGCGGUGAAAUGCGUAGAGAUCUGGAGGAAUACCGGUGGCGAAGGCGGCCCCCUGGACAAAGACUGACGCUCAGC